This 65-nucleotide transfer RNA is filed under the name Dipodomys ordii (Ord's kangaroo rat). It matches the Rfam family "tRNA". From Rfam's summary of the family: Transfer RNA (tRNA) molecules are approximately 80 nucleotides in length. Their secondary structure includes four short double-helical elements and three loops (D, anti-codon, and T loops). Further hydrogen bonds mediate the characteristic L-shaped molecular structure. tRNAs have two regions of fundamental functional importance: the anti-codon, which is responsible for specific mRNA codon recognition, and the 3' end, to which the tRNAs corresponding amino acid is attached (by aminoacyl-tRNA synthetases). tRNAs cope with the degeneracy of the genetic code in two manners: having more than one tRNA (with a specific anti-codon) for a particular amino acid; and 'wobble' base-pairing, i.e. permitting non-standard base-pairing at the 3rd anti-codon position. The record is from Rfam by way of RNAcentral. Lineage: Eukaryota; Metazoa; Chordata; Mammalia; Rodentia; Heteromyidae.
GGUGGCUCAAUGGUAGAGCGCUUGCCUUACAUGCCUGAUGCCCUGGGUUCGAUUCCUCAGCACCA